RNAcentral lists this ribosomal RNA (332 nucleotides) under uncultured eukaryote. RNAcentral's name for it is "partial 18S ribosomal RNA". It matches the Rfam family "Eukaryotic small subunit ribosomal RNA", at positions 1470 to 1796 of the family's 1831-position model. The record is from RNAcentral.
CCCUUAGAUGUUCUGGGCUGCACACGUGCUACACUGGCAGGUUCAGCGAGCUUCAUGCCCUGAUCUGAAAGGAAUGGGAAAUCUUUUCAAAACCUGCCGUGCUUGGGAUAGAUGUUUGCAAUUAUUCAUCUUCAACGAGGAUUGCCUUGUAAGCGCACGUCAUCAGCGUGCAUUGAAUACGACCCUGUAUUCUGUACACACCGCCCGUCGCUCCUACCGAUUGAAGUUUUCGGUAAGUUGACAGGAGGAUUUUUUUGAAACUGGUUCGCCAGUGGAUUUUAGAUCCAAAUGCCAACGAAUCGAUGGCUUUAGAGGAAGGAGAAGUCGUAACA